Molecule: ribosomal RNA, 492 nt
Filed under: uncultured bacterium
Lineage: Bacteria
Description: partial 16S ribosomal RNA
Rfam family: Bacterial small subunit ribosomal RNA
Source: RNAcentral
AGUGAACGCUGGCGGUAGGCCUAACACAUGUAAGUCGAACGGCAGCACAGUAAGAGCUUGCUCUUACGGGUGGCGAGUGGCGGACGGGUGAGGAAUACAUCGGAAUCUACUUUUUCGUGGGGGAUAACGUAGGGAAACUUACGCUAAUACCGCAUACGACCUACGGGUGAAAGCAGGGGAUCUUCGGACCUUGCGCGAUUGAAUGAGCCGAUGUCGGAUUAGCUAGUUGGCGGGGUAAAGGCCCACCAAGGCGACGAUCCGUAGCUGGUCUGAGAGGAUGAUCAGCCACACUGGAACUGAGACACGGUCCAGACUCCUACGGGAGGCAGCAGUGGGGAAUAUUGGACAAUGGGCGCAAGCCUGAUCCAGCCAUACCGCGUGGGUGAAGAAGGCCUUCGGGUUGUAAAGCCCUUUUGUUGGGAAAGAAAAGCAGCGGGUUAAUACCCCGCUGUUCUGACGGUACCCAAAGAAUAAGCACCGGCUAACUUCGUG